AAUUUCUGGUUUCUCUUCAGAUUGUAUAAAUCUUUCACUUUUUACUAAAGAUUUCUGUGGAGAUGAACAAGCACGAGUGUCAAGGAAUUUUCUGAGACUCCAAUGGAGCU
This 110-nucleotide small nuclear RNA is filed under the name Balearica regulorum gibbericeps (East African grey crowned-crane). Its description in RNAcentral is "Balearica pavonina gibbericeps U5 spliceosomal RNA". It matches the Rfam family "U5 spliceosomal RNA". Rfam says of the family: U5 RNA is a component of both types of known spliceosome. The precise function of this molecule is unknown, though it is known that the 5' loop is required for splice site selection and p220 binding, and that both the 3' stem-loop and the Sm site are important for Sm protein binding and cap methylation. The record is from Rfam by way of RNAcentral. Lineage: Eukaryota; Metazoa; Chordata; Aves; Gruiformes; Gruidae.